UAAGAGCCUCACUAUGGCCAUUCGGUGGAGGAUGGUCACAGGGGCAGAAGAUUCACUAGACAUAGCUGCAUAUCCUGGGCCAACACUUAGUGUGUGAGUGGAUUCCUUCUUUGAGCUUCUUUGUUCAUCCGGGAUGUAGGGAUUUACAGCACAUCCAAAGGAUUGCUGUAAGGAGUAAAUUAAACAACAGAAUGAAAGCUCUUAGAGCAGUGCAUGCUUCCUAGCAGACACAAAAUAAAAUGUUUGAUUUUGGUGUCAGACAUUUUACACGGGAGGAGGAAAAAGCUUUCCACUUUCUCAUCUUUAUGCCCCAUCCCACGAGCCCAGUGCUGUCUCCCCCCUGGGAGCAGGCAAAGGGCAAUGCAUGGGCUCUUGGACCUAGACAGUGUCAUUCUGGCUCUGUGCUAACCCACUCUUCUCACACCUAUGCCUCACAGUUGACCCCUGUUCAGCUGUCGGAGCCCUGACCUUCUCCUGCAGUGCUGGCCGUCUCCAAAGCCAGCAGCACGACCCCAAGGCUGGGGAGCGGGUAAGGAGCGCGUCUGAUGUCACUAAGCCUUUUCUUUAUCCACUGGCUGUCAUCAGAGAGCUGCUGUUUUCCUCCAUGACCUUUGCUGCAUUUCAAACCCUUCGCUUUACAUUAUAUUUUGCCAUGCUUCAGUCUUAUCUCCUCUAAUAGUCUAUGCACUUCCCGAAGGCACAAACGGCACAGUAAAUAUGUCGGGAGUACCCGCCUCUCCCUGGCACUGCCUGUGCUUGUGGAAUGAACUGAAGGAAGAGCUGACUGAUGCUCACACAGUGCUGAAAGCCUGCCAAGCUGUGAAUAAGUGUGCGGUGAAGUGCUGCCACCUGCUGGCUGAGAGCCGCAGCAGCUCCACCUACCAGUGCAGGAUUUUCUUCUUGAAGCUACCUCCGCUGCUAAAUUUCGUUUCUGUGCGCUGUCCUCUGCAUUCAGGGCAAGAGGAUGAUCUUGCAAGCUUGUUUCUGGUAAGUGCCUACCCAUAGCGAUCUGUGUAGUAAACCA
This 1024-nucleotide long non-coding RNA is filed under the name Chinchilla lanigera (long-tailed chinchilla). RNAcentral's name for it is "lncRNA (ENSCLAG00000028493.1)". Lineage: Eukaryota; Metazoa; Chordata; Mammalia; Rodentia; Chinchillidae. The record is from RNAcentral.